Molecule: ribosomal RNA, 665 nt
Filed under: uncultured bacterium
Lineage: Bacteria
Description: bacterial SSU rRNA
Rfam family: Bacterial small subunit ribosomal RNA
Source: RNAcentral
UCAGACUGAACGCUGGCGGCAGGCCUAACACAUGCAAGUCGAGCGGUAACAUUUCCAGCUUGCUGGAAGAUGACGAGCGGCGGACGGGUGAGUAAUACUUGGGGAUCUGCCUGAUGGCGGGGGACAACCACUGGAAACGGUGGCUAAUACCGCAUAAUGCCUACGGGCCAAAGUGUGGGACCUUCGGGCCACAUGCCAUCAGAUGAACCCAAGCGAGAUUAGCUAGUUGGUGAGGUAACGGCUCACCAAGGCGACGAUCUCUAGCUGGUCUGAGAGGAUGAUCAGCCACACUGGGACUGAGACACGGCCCAGACUCCUACGGGAGGCAGCAGUGGGGAAUAUUGGACAAUGGGCGCAAGCCUGAUCCAGCCAUGCCGCGUGUGUGAAGAAGGCCUUCGGGUUGUAAAGCACUUUCAGUGGUGAGGAAGGCCUUGUAGUUAAUAGCUGCAAGGAUUGACGUUAGCCACAGAAGAAGCACCGGCUAACUCCGUGCCAGCAGCCGCGGUAAUACGGAGGGUGCGAGCGUUAAUCGGAAUUACUGGGCGUAAAGCGCACGUAGGCGGUUUGUUAAGCAAGAUGUGAAAGCCCAGGGCUCAACCUUGGAAUAGCAUUUUGAACUGGCAAGCUAGAGUUUUGAAGAGGGUGGUAGAAUUUCCAGUGUAGCG